CGCGUAGGCGGUGCGGUAAGUCACCUGUGAAACCUCCCGGCUCAACUGGGAGCCUGCAGGCGAAACUGCCGUGCUGGAGUGUGGGAGGGGUGCGUGGAAUUCCCGGUGUAGCAGUGAAAUGCGUAGAGAUCGGGAGGAACACCUGUGGCGAAAGCGGCGCACUGGACCACAACUGACGCUGAGGCGCGAAAGCUAGGGGAGCAAACAGGAUUAGAUACCCUGGUAGUCCUAGCCCUAAACCAUGGAUGCUUGGUGUAGCGGGUACCCAAUCCCGCUGUGCCGCAGUUAACGCGAUAAGCAUCCCGCCUGGGGAGUACGGUCGCAAGGCUGAA
This 332-nucleotide ribosomal RNA is filed under the name uncultured bacterium. Its description in RNAcentral is "bacterial SSU rRNA". It matches the Rfam family "Bacterial small subunit ribosomal RNA", at positions 568 to 898 of the family's 1533-position model. The record is from RNAcentral.